AGGAAAUUGGUAGACUCAACGUCCAGGGAACCUACGAAUCUGCUAUCCCAAGCCUUCUGCCCCCAAACACUUCACCCUGAAAUACAGCCCAGAGCAUGCACUCAGUGAGUCCCACUGAAGAAGAGACGGAAGGCAGAACUGAACAAGAUGUGUCCAGAAGAGGUAGCCAUAGAUCAUGGACAUGACCAAAAGAAGCUUACUUUAUUUUCAACCCUACAACCAUACUGAGAAUUUAGCCCUGGGGACAUCUUCCGAUAUAAUCUGGCAUAGAAGAGUGGUUAUCACACCUUUAGCAUGGGAAAGAGCCACAGAUUUGCUUCUUCCUAGCAAGGGCGUGAUACUAAUUCCAGAUCCAUCCAAAUAUUGUUCACUGCUUCUUAGACAGAGACCCCUUUCUCCCAGGACCCUUGAGACACCUUUGCUGUGAAUAAUGGAGAAGCAAAAGGAGUUACUAAUGAAGACAAACUAAACCUGAGAACAGAGAGAGCCUAACUAUGUGCUCCAGAAGUGCCAUGUGUGUCUAAGGACAUCAGCAAGAUGAUGAAAAGGGAGUUUUCUACUGUCAUUCCCCAAAAGAAGCAUCAAUUUUACAACUACUCAUGGACAAGAGUAUCCUUGUAGGAAUCUAAGAGUUUAGCAAAGAAGUUUCAGCACAUUCUCAGAGCAAAAAGUUUGAGUAUGCAUACGGAGAAGAGAAGAGAAUAAGAACAGUUGCACUUUACCUGCACUUUUUCU
RNAcentral lists this long non-coding RNA (735 nucleotides) under Homo sapiens (human). RNAcentral's name for it is "HSALNT0336806". Lineage: Eukaryota; Metazoa; Chordata; Mammalia; Primates; Hominidae. The record is from RNAcentral.